UACGGGGGGGGGUAAGCGUUGUUCGGAAUUACUGGGCGUAAAGGGCGCGUAGGCGGCUUAACAAGUCACUUGUGAAAUCUCCGGGCUUAACUCGGAACGGCCAAGUGAAACUGUUAUGCUAGAGUGCAGAAGGGGCAAUCGGAAUUCUUGGUGUAGCGGUGAAAUGCGUAGAUAUCAAGAGGAACACCUGAGGUGAAGACGGGUUGCUGGGCCGACACUGACACUGAGAGACGAAAGCUAGGGGAGCGAAUGGG
RNAcentral lists this ribosomal RNA (254 nucleotides) under uncultured bacterium. RNAcentral's name for it is "partial 16S ribosomal RNA". It matches the Rfam family "Bacterial small subunit ribosomal RNA", at positions 524 to 776 of the family's 1533-position model. The record is from RNAcentral.